This 408-nucleotide ribosomal RNA is filed under the name Baetis sp. SR-2014. Its description in RNAcentral is "partial 16S ribosomal RNA". It matches the Rfam family "Bacterial large subunit ribosomal RNA", at positions 1846 to 2523 of the family's 2925-position model. The record is from RNAcentral. Lineage: Eukaryota; Metazoa; Arthropoda; Insecta; Ephemeroptera; Baetidae.
UUGGGGGUACCGCCUGCCCACUGAUUAUUUUAACGGCCGCAGUAUUUUGACUGUGCAAAGGUAGCAUAAUCACUUGUCCCCUAAUUGGGGGCUGGUAUGAAUGGAAUGACGUGGUGGGAGCUGUCUCAAUUAUAACUUGUAACUUAAUAUUUAAGUCAAAAAGCUUAAAUGCAAACGCAGGACGAGAAGACCCCAUAGAUCUUUAUAUAGCCAAUUCCGCCGCCCUUAGCCGCGCCCUAUGGUGUAAUAUUAAUAUAUUUAGUUGGGGUGACACGAAGUCUUAAACACUUAUUUCCCAAACGAAAGUUUAAGGUCCGAUGACCCGGCUCGCCGAUCAAAAAAUUAAGUUACCUUGGGGAUAACAGCGUAAUCUGUCCUUAGAGUUCUUAUCAAACGACAGGGUUGCGA